Molecule: ribosomal RNA, 1415 nt
Filed under: uncultured bacterium
Lineage: Bacteria
Description: partial 16S ribosomal RNA
Rfam family: Bacterial small subunit ribosomal RNA
Source: RNAcentral
AGAGUUUGAUCCUGGCUCAGGACGAACGCUGGCGGCGUGCCUAAUACAUGCAAGUCGAGCGGACGAAUUUUUGGUGCUUGCACCGAAUUUUCGUUAGCGGCGGACGGGUGAGUAACACGUGGGUAACCUACCUUAUAGAUUGGGAUAACUCCGGGAAACCGGGGCUAAUACCGAAUAAUACUUUUAAACACAUGUUUUGAAGUUGAAAGACGGUUUUGCUGUCACUAUAGGAUGGACCCGCGGCGCAUUAGCUAGUUGGUGAGGUAACGGCUCACCAAGGCAACGAUGCGUAGCCGACCUGAGAGGGUGAUCGGCCACACUGGGACUGAGACACGGCCCAGACUCCUACGGGAGGCAGCAGUAGGGAAUCUUCCACAAUGGACGAAAGUCUGAUGGAGCAACGCCGCGUGAGUGAAGAAGGAUUUCGGUUCGUAAAACUCUGUUGCAAGGGAAGAACAAGUAGCGUAGUAACUGGCGCUACCUUGACGGUACCUUGUUAGAAAGCCACGGCUAACUACGUGCCAGCAGCCGCGGUAAUACGUAGGGGGCAAGCGUUGUCCGGAAUGACUGGGCGUAGAGGGCGUGUAGGCGGCCGAUUAAGUCUGGAGUGAAAGUCCUGCAUUCAAUGUGGGAAUUGCUUUGGAGACUGGUUGGCUAGAGUGCGGAAGAGGUAAGUGGAAUUCCCAGUGUAGCGGUGAAAUGCGCAGAGAUUGGGAGGAACACCAGUGGCGAAGGCGACUUACUGGGCCGUAACUGACGCUGAGGCGCGAAAGCGUGGGGAGCGAACAGGAUUAGAUACCCUGGUAGUCCAUGCCGUAAACGUUGGGCACUAGGUGUGGGGGACAUUCCACGUUUUCCGCGCCGUAGCUAACGCAUUAAGUGCCCCGCCUGGGGAGUACGGCCGCAAGGCUAAAACUCAAAGGAAUUGACGGGGGCCCGCACAAGCGGCGGAGCAUGCGGAUUAAUUCGAUGCAACGCGAAGAACCUUACCAAGGCUUGACAUGAACCGGAAAGGCCUGGAAACAGGUCCCCCACUUGUGGCCGGUUUACAGGUGGUGCAUGGUUGUCGUCAGCUCGUGUCGUGAGAUGUUGGGUUAAGUCCCGCAACGAGCGCAACCCUCGUUCUAUGUUGCCAGCGGGUUAUGCCGGGGACUCAUAGGAGACUGCCGGGGUCAACUCGGAGGAAGGUGGGGACGACGUCAAAUCAUCAUGCCCCUUAUGUCUUGGGCUUCACGCAUGCUACAAUGGCCGGUACAAAGGGUUGCGAUACUGUGAGGUGGAGCUAAUCCCAAAAAGCCGGUCUCAGUUCGGAUUGAGGUCUGCAACUCGACCUCAUGAAGUUGGAGUCGCUAGUAAUCGCAGAUCAGCAACGCUGCGGUGAAUACGUUCCCGGGCCUUGCACUCACCGCCCGUCA